AUUGAACGCUGGCGGCAUGCCUUACACAUGCAAGUCGAACGGCAGCACGGGUGCUUGCACCUGGUGGCGAGUGGCGAACGGGUGAGUAAUACAUCGGAACAUGUCCUGUAGUGGGGGAUAGCCCGGCGAAAGCCGGAUUAAUACCGCAUACGAUCUACGGAUGAAAGCGGGGGACCUUCGGGCCUCGCGCUAUAGGGUUGGCCGAUGGCUGAUUAGCUGGUUGGUGGGGUAAAGGCCUACCAAGGCGACGAUCAGUAGCUGGUCUGAGAGGACGACCAGCCACACUGGGACUGAGACAACGCCCAGACUCCUACGGGAAGGAGCAGUGGGGAAAUUUGGACAAUGGGCGAAAGCCUGAUCCAGCAAUGCCGCGUGUGUGAAGAAGGCCUUCGGGUUGUAAAGCACUUUUGUCCGGAAAGAAAUCCUUGGCCCUAAUACGGUCGGGGGAUGACGGUACCGGAAGAAUAAGCACCGGCUAACUACGUG
RNAcentral lists this ribosomal RNA (486 nucleotides) under uncultured bacterium. RNAcentral describes it as "partial 16S ribosomal RNA". It matches the Rfam family "Bacterial small subunit ribosomal RNA", at positions 30 to 507 of the family's 1533-position model. The record is from RNAcentral.